Molecule: ribosomal RNA, 253 nt
Filed under: uncultured bacterium
Lineage: Bacteria
Description: partial 16S ribosomal RNA
Rfam family: Bacterial small subunit ribosomal RNA
Source: RNAcentral
UACGUAGGGCGCAAGCGUUAUCCGGAAUUAUUGGGCGUAAAGAGCUCGUAGGCGGUUUGUCGCGUCUGCCGUGAAAGUCCGGGGCUCAACUCCGGAUCUGCGGUGGGUACGGGCAGACUAGAGUGAUGUAGGGGAGACUGGAAUUCCUGGUGUAGCGGUGAAAUGCGCAGAUAUCAGGAGGAACACCGAUGGCGAAGGCAGGUCUCUGGGCAUUAACUGACGCUGAGGUGCGAAAGCAUGGGGAGCGAACAGG